GAAAUGCGAUAAGUAAUGUGAAUUGCAGAAUUCAGUGAAUCAUCGAAUCUUUGAACGCACAUUGCGCCCGCCAGUAUUCUGGCGGGCAUGCCUGUCCGAGCGUCAUUUCAACCAUCAAGCCCCCGGGCUUGUGUUGGGGACCUGUGGCUGCCCGCAGGCCCUGAAAACCAGUGGCGGGCUCGCUGUCACACCGAGCGUAGUAGCAAUCACCUCGCUCAGGGCGUGCUGCGGGUUCCGGCCGUUAAACAGCCUUUUUUACCCAAGGUUGACCUCGGAUCAGGUAGGAAGACCCGCUGAACUUAAGC
RNAcentral lists this unclassified non-coding RNA (305 nucleotides) under plant metagenome. RNAcentral describes it as "partial contains 5.8S ribosomal RNA, internal transcribed spacer 2, and large subunit ribosomal RNA". The stretch from base 1 to 105 matches the Rfam family "5.8S ribosomal RNA", at positions 50 to 154 of the family's 154-position model. The record is from RNAcentral.